UUUGAUGUCAUAGGUCGAUCGGUCUGCGCAGCGCCGCGUGACAUCAAACACACCUAAAGAUUUCGUGAAAGUUUCACCGUGUUUUGAAAGCGCCCACCACUACUGCAUCGUAUCCAAUCCAUCAGACACGGACUCCGGCGUAGAUCAAACCAACAGACGACUGUCAUCAGUUUGAGAUCUCUGUGGCUUCUUGUUUUCCUCCUGGAUGCCACAUGACAGUCUGAUGUCAGAGACGCCUCUCCAGACCGACUUUCCAUCACAGAAGGAUCAGGAAGAUUUCCUACCUCCUCAAGGACGUCAGCAAGCUUACUCAGUAUUUCCUCUGGAAGACUUCGGAAUGUCGGGACGCUGCAA
This is a long non-coding RNA of Misgurnus anguillicaudatus (oriental weatherfish), 354 nucleotides long. RefSeq lists it as uncharacterized. The record is from RefSeq and is a predicted model, not a curated record. Lineage: Eukaryota; Metazoa; Chordata; Actinopteri; Cypriniformes; Cobitidae.